RNAcentral lists this ribosomal RNA (403 nucleotides) under uncultured bacterium. RNAcentral describes it as "bacterial SSU rRNA". It matches the Rfam family "Bacterial small subunit ribosomal RNA", at positions 355 to 755 of the family's 1533-position model. The record is from RNAcentral.
UGAGGAAUAUUGGUCAAUGGGCGAAAGCCUGAACCAGCCAUGCCGCGUGAAGGAAUAAGGCCCUAUGGGUCGUAAACUUCUUUUGUAUCGGAGCAAUAAGGGCCACGAGUGGUCCGAUGAGAUUACGAUACGAAUAAGCAUCGGCUAACUCCGUGCCAGCAGCCGCGGUAAUACGGAGGAUGCAAGCGUUAUCCGGAUUCAUUGGGUUUAAAGGGUGCGUAGGCGGCUUGGUAAGUCAGCGGUGAAAUUCCAGUGCUCAACAUUGGCCGUGCCGUUGAUACUGCUGGGCUUGAAUGCGGAUGCCGUGGGAGGAAUGUGUGGUGUAGCGGUGAAAUGCAUAGAUAUCACACAGAACACCGAUUGCGAAGGCAUCUCACGAAUCCGCAAUUGACGCUGAGGCACG